AUUGAACGCUGGCGGCAUGCUUUACACAUGCAAGUCGAACGGUAACAGGCCGCAAGGUGCUGACGAGUGGCGAACGGGUGAGUAAUGCAUCGGAACGUGCCCAGUCGUGGGGGAUAACGCAGCGAAAGCUGUGCUAAUACCGCAUACGAUCUAUGGAUGAAAGCGGGGGACCGUAAGGCCUCGCGCGAUUGGAGCGGCCGAUGUCAGAUUAGGUAGUUGGUGGGGUAAAGGCUCACCAAGCCAACGAUCUGUAGCUGGUCUGAGAGGACGACCAGCCACACGGGGACUGAGACACGGCCCAGACUCCUACGGGAAGCAGGAGUGGGGAAUUGUGGACAAUGGGCGCAAGCCUGAUACAGCAAUGCCGCGUGCAGGAAGAAGGCCUUCGGGUUGUAAACUGCUUUUGUACGGAACGAAACGGCGAGCUCUAAUACAGUUUGCUAAUGACGGUACCGUAAGAAUAAGCACCGGCUAACUACGUGCCAGCCGCCGCAGUAA
Molecule: ribosomal RNA, 498 nt
Filed under: uncultured bacterium
Lineage: Bacteria
Description: partial 16S ribosomal RNA
Rfam family: Bacterial small subunit ribosomal RNA
Source: RNAcentral